GUGAAUCAUCGAAUCUUUGAACGCAAAUUGCACUCUCUUCUGAGAGUAUGCCUGUUUGAGGGUCAGCCUAAAAAAAAAAUCGACAUAUUCGCUGUUUCUGGGUGAUAUUCUUCGGAAAUUGGGUAAUCUUAAACCUUUGGGUUUUAAACGGCUUAAAUUUUUUUUUACGAUUCCUCGAACUUUUCUAUUAUUUACUUCUUAUA
RNAcentral lists this unclassified non-coding RNA (203 nucleotides) under Glomus sp. Its description in RNAcentral is "partial contains 5.8S ribosomal RNA and internal transcribed spacer 2". The stretch from base 1 to 65 matches the Rfam family "5.8S ribosomal RNA", at positions 84 to 154 of the family's 154-position model. Lineage: Eukaryota; Fungi; Glomeromycota; Glomeromycetes; Glomerales; Glomeraceae. The record is from RNAcentral.